Molecule: long non-coding RNA, 376 nt
Filed under: Vigna radiata
Lineage: Eukaryota; Viridiplantae; Streptophyta; Magnoliopsida; Fabales; Fabaceae
Description: long non-coding RNA (VRAD_LNC011112)
Source: RNAcentral
UGGAACAUGGAUUUUGCUAGAUUUUCGGUAGAAAUGAGAAUGAGCUCACGGGUAUUUAUCUCCUAGUCAUUUACGCUGCAACANUUAACUAUUCCNUUUCCUUUUUAUUAUUUUUUCCUUGCUUUUAAUUAAUAAGGAACUGCUCACNGUCACAUCUAGCAUUGGUGCACAUGUCACGGACUGAAGAUAGUUGUUAAUUUCCAUUUGAAGAGUUCAAUUCAUUUACUUGGCUUUGAGUGAUGCUGUCACGUGAUGUUCUAAUGGAAGCUUAAAAGGGAUUUACAAUAUUUACAAUGCUUUUCUUGGUCCAGUACACUUGAUUCCAUCGGAAUUUGCAAUGUUCUUUUUAGUUUCAUUGAAUGAAAUUGGUGGUGGG